GCUCCCCCUUCCAAUGGGUGUAUUGGGGUAUUCAUUUACUUCAUUACUCCUUUGGUCGUUUACUGUGAGAAAAUUAGAGUGUUCAAAGCGGGCGUUUGUUUGAAUAGAUUAGCAUGGAAUAAUGAUUGAAGGCUUUCGUGUUCGAUUUGAUUGGUUUGUUCAUGGAAGCAAGGUUAAAAGGAACAGUUGGGGGUAUUCAUAUUCACUAGUUAGAGGUGAAAUUCUCGGAUUUAUGGAAGAUGAACAGGUGCGAAAGCAUUUACCAAGGAUGUUUUCAUUAAUCAAGAACGAAAGCUAGGGGAUCGAAGAGGAUUAGAUACCCUCGUAGUCUUAGCUAUAAACGAUACCGACUAGGGGUUAGUAGAGGUCAAUGUGUCUCUAUUAGUACCUUAUGAGAAAUCAAAGUCUUUGGGUUCCGGGGGGAGUAUGGUCGCAAGGCUGAAACUUAAAGGGAAUUGACGGAAGGGCACCACCAGGAGUGGAGCCUGCGGCUUA
Molecule: ribosomal RNA, 495 nt
Filed under: Blastocystis sp. subtype 2
Lineage: Eukaryota; Bigyra; Opalinata; Blastocystidae
Description: SSU rRNA
Rfam family: Eukaryotic small subunit ribosomal RNA
Source: RNAcentral